This 370-nucleotide unclassified non-coding RNA is filed under the name Hevea brasiliensis (rubber tree). The record is from RNAcentral. Lineage: Eukaryota; Viridiplantae; Streptophyta; Magnoliopsida; Malpighiales; Euphorbiaceae.
UGACUCGGGGGCUUUUUUGAGGACUGCUUCAACAUUCCGCAACUUUAUUUCACGAGACCCGAAUUGUCAAUAUCCAGCAGAAUCCGGAAGGUAUCAUCUUUAUAUAUCAUAUGCCUGUCCCUGGGCUUCCAGGUGCCUUGCAUACUUGAAGAUUAAAGGACUUGAGAAAGCUAUUAGUUUCACGUCUGCGAAACCCAUAUGGGAAAGAACCAAAGACAGUGAUGAACAUAUGGGAUGGGUUUUUCCUGCUUCAGAGACAGAGGAACCAGGAGCUGAGCCUGACCCUUUGAAUGGGGCAAAAAGUAUAAGGGAGCUUUAUGAGCUUGCAAGUACAAACUAUGCUGGAAUAUACAGUUCCUGUGCUAUGGGG